GUUGCAUUUAGCGUGGGUGAUAAUGAAAGGAAAUUUCUAAUGUCCCCGAACGCUGCACACUCAAGUAUUGGAUGUAAUGUCAACAAAUCAAGGUUAUUUGUGGAAUUUUACUGCAUACCUUCUUCCGUACAACUCACAAAUAGUUGGUGGAAGUUGCUGUGAGAAAUCUCCACAAGUUACAAAGCAAUGUUGAGACGGAUGGAGUGCGAGCUGAGUAGAGAAUUCUCCAACAGCGAAGAAAAACGUUGAGGAGGCUGUUUGUCAUGGUUGUUGGAAAAGGCAAAUACUACACUCUUAUUGACGAUUUAUUGCGGCCGUUGACAAGUGUGCAUUAAUUUUGAUUGCCCAAAAAGUUGAUUAUUUUGAAUAAAAUUAAUGAGGCGAUUUUUGUAAUUUUUCCGGAAAACUAACAAAAAUUGAAUGCUUGAUUUGCUGAGUUCUCAAAUGCCAUGAUUCAAUAAUAAAAGACUUUGCAAAGUUAGACAACUGAU
Molecule: long non-coding RNA, 491 nt
Organism: Anastrepha obliqua
Lineage: Eukaryota; Metazoa; Arthropoda; Insecta; Diptera; Tephritidae
Exons: 2
Source: RefSeq, a predicted model, not a curated record